UCCCCAGUGGCUCAGUGGUAAAGAAUCUGCCUGCAAAGCAGGAGACACUGGUUCAAUCCCUGGGUGGGGAA
Molecule: transfer RNA, 71 nt
Filed under: Bos taurus (domestic cattle)
Lineage: Eukaryota; Metazoa; Chordata; Mammalia; Artiodactyla; Bovidae
Also listed under: 5 other names
Rfam family: tRNA
About the family: Transfer RNA (tRNA) molecules are approximately 80 nucleotides in length. Their secondary structure includes four short double-helical elements and three loops (D, anti-codon, and T loops).
Source: Rfam by way of RNAcentral